AUCUGGUUCAGGAUGAACGCUAGCGGCAGGCUUAACACAUGCAAGUCGAGGGGCAUCGGGAGUAGCAAUACUGCCGGCGACCGGCGCAAGGGUGCGUAACGCGUGAGCAACAUGCCCGUAUCAGGGGGGAUAAUCCAUGGAAACGUGGUCUAAUACCCCAUGGUAAUUAUGUAAGGCAUCUUAUAUAAUUUAAAGCUUUGGUGGAUACGGAUUGGCUCGCGUGACAUUAGCUGGAUGGUAAGGUAACGGCUUACCAUGGCUACGAUGUCUAGGGGUUCUGAGAGGAAGGUCCCCCCACACUGGAACUGAGACACGGUCCAGACUCCUACGGGAGGCAGCAGUGAGGAAUAUUGGACAAUGGAUGGAAAUCUGAUCCAGCCAUGCCGCGUGCAGGGAAAGACGGCCCUAUGGGUUGUAAACUGCUUUUGUAUGGGAGCAAUAAGGGCUACGUGUAGUCCGAUGAGAGUACCAUACGAAUAAGCACCGGCUAACUCCGUGCCAGCAGCUGC
RNAcentral lists this ribosomal RNA (509 nucleotides) under uncultured bacterium. RNAcentral's name for it is "bacterial SSU rRNA". It matches the Rfam family "Bacterial small subunit ribosomal RNA", at positions 17 to 518 of the family's 1533-position model. The record is from RNAcentral.